This 468-nucleotide ribosomal RNA is filed under the name uncultured bacterium. RNAcentral's name for it is "partial 16S ribosomal RNA". It matches the Rfam family "Bacterial small subunit ribosomal RNA", at positions 28 to 507 of the family's 1533-position model. The record is from RNAcentral.
GACGAACGCUGGCGGCGUGCUUAACACAUGCAAGUCGAACGGAAAGGCCCUGCUUUUGUGGGGUGCUUGAGUGGCGAACGGGUGAGUAACACGUGAGUAACCUGCCCUUGACUUUGGGAUAACUUCAGGAAACUGGGGCUAAUACCGGAUAGGAGCUCCUGCUGCAUGGUGGGGGUUGGAAAGUUUCGGCGGUUGGGGAUGGUCUCGCGGCUUAUCAGCUUGUUGGUGGGGUAGUGGCUUACCAAGGCUUUGACGGGUAGCCGGCCUGAGAGGGUGACCGGCAACAUUGGGAUUGAGAUACGGCCCAGACUCCUACGGGAGGCAGCAGUGGGGAAUACUGCACAAGGGGCGGACGCCAGAUGCAGCAACGCCGCGUGAGGGAUGAAGGCAUUCGGGUUGUAAGCCGCUUUCGCCUGUGACGAAGCGUGAGUGACGGUAAUGGGUAAAGAAGCACCGGCUAACUACGUG